AUUGAACGCUGGCGGCAUACUUUACACAUGCAAGUCGAACGGUAACAGGUUAAGCUGACGAGUGGCGAACGGGUGAGUAAUGCAUCGGAACGUGCCCGAUCGUGGGGGAUAACGCAGCGAAAGCUGCGCUAAUACCGCAUACGAUCUGAGGAUGAAAGCGGGGGACCGUAAGGCCUCGCGCGAUCGGAGCGGCCGAUGUCAGAUUAGGUAGUUGGUGGGGUAAAGGCCCACCAAGCCGACGAUCUGUAGCUGGCCUGAGAGGACGACCAGCCACACUGGGACUGAGACACGGCCCAGACUCCUACGGGAGGCAGCAGUGGGGAAUUUUGGACAAUGGGCGAAAGCCUGAUCCAGCAAUGCCGCGUGCAGGAAGAAGGCCUUCGGGUUGUAAACUGCUUUUGUACGGAGCGAAAAGGUCCUUUCUAAUACAAGGGGCUCAUGACGGUACCGUAAGAAUAAGCACCGGCUAACUACGUGCCAGCCGCCGCCGUAA
This 493-nucleotide ribosomal RNA is filed under the name uncultured bacterium. RNAcentral's name for it is "partial 16S ribosomal RNA". It matches the Rfam family "Bacterial small subunit ribosomal RNA", at positions 30 to 523 of the family's 1533-position model. The record is from RNAcentral.